This 901-nucleotide ribosomal RNA is filed under the name Cladosporium tenuissimum. RNAcentral's name for it is "LSU rRNA". It matches the Rfam family "Eukaryotic large subunit ribosomal RNA", at positions 36 to 963 of the family's 3401-position model. Lineage: Eukaryota; Fungi; Ascomycota; Dothideomycetes; Cladosporiales; Cladosporiaceae. RNAcentral also lists the same sequence under 2 other names. The record is from RNAcentral.
UAGCAUAUCAAUAAGCGGAGGAAAAGAAACCAACAGGGAUUGCUCUAGUAACGGCGAGUGAAGCAGCAAUAGCUCAAAUUUGAAAUCUGGCGUCUUCGACGUCCGAGUUGUAAUUUGUAGAGGAUGCUUCUGAGUAACCACCGACCUAAGUUCCUUGGAACAGGACGUCAUAGAGGGUGAGAAUCCCGUAUGCGGUCGGAAAGGUGCUCUAUACGUAGCUCCUUCGACGAGUCGAGUUGUUUGGGAAUGCAGCUCUAAAUGGGAGGUAAAUUUCUUCUAAAGCUAAAUAUUGGCCAGAGACCGAUAGCGCACAAGUAGAGUGAUCGAAAGAUGAAAAGCACUUUGGAAAGAGAGUUAAAAAGCACGUGAAAUUGUUAAAAGGGAAGGGAUUGCAACCAGACUUGCUCGCGGUGUUCCGCCGGUCUUCUGACCGGUCUACUCGCCGCGUUGCAGGCCAGCAUCGUCUGGUGCCGCUGGAUAAGACUUGAGGAAUGUAGCUCCCUCGGGAGUGUUAUAGCCUCUUGUGAUGCAGCGAGCGCCGGGCGAGGUCCGCGCUUCGGCUAGGAUGCUGGCGUAAUGGUCGUAAUCCGCCCGUCUUGAAACACGGACCAAGGAGUCUAACAUCUAUGCGAGUGUUCGGGUGUCAAACCCCUACGCGUAAUGAAAGUGAACGGAGGUGAGAACCGCAAGGUGCAUCAUCGACCGAUCCUGAUGUCUUCGGAUGGAUUUGAGUAAGAGCAUAGCUGUUGGGACCCGAAAGAUGGUGAACUAUGCCUGAAUAGGGUGAAGCCAGAGGAAACUCUGGUGGAGGCUCGCAGCGGUUCUGACGUGCAAAUCGAUCGUCAAAUUUGGGUAUAGGGGCGAAAGACUAAUCGAACCAUCUAGUAGCUGGUUCCUGCGA